UACAAAGGGGGCUAGCGUUGCUCGGAAUCACUGGGCGUAAAGCGCACGUAGGCGGCUUGUUAAGUCAGGGGUGAAAUCCUGGAGCUCAACUCCAGAACUGCCUUUGAUACUGGCAAGCUUGGAGUCCGGGAGAGGUGAGUGGAACUGCGAGUGUAGAGGUGAAAUUCGUAGAUAUUCGCAAGAACACCAGUGGCGAAGGCGGCUCACGGGCCCGGUACUGACGCUGAGGUGCGAAAGCGUGGGGAGCAAACAGG
RNAcentral lists this ribosomal RNA (254 nucleotides) under uncultured bacterium. RNAcentral's name for it is "partial 16S ribosomal RNA". It matches the Rfam family "Bacterial small subunit ribosomal RNA", at positions 524 to 776 of the family's 1533-position model. The record is from RNAcentral.